AUUGAACGCUGGCGGCAGGCCUAACACAUGCAAGUCGAACGAGUGGCGGACGGGUGAGUAAUGUCUGGGAAACUGCCUGAUGGAGGGGGCUAACUACUGGCAACGGUAGCUAAUACCGCAUACCAUCAGAUUUUCCCAGAUGGGAUUAGCUAGUUGGUGGGGUAACGGCUCACCAAGGCGACGAUCCCUAGCUGGGCUGAGAGGAUGACCAGCCACACUGGAACUGAGACACGGUCCAGACUCCUACGGGAGGCAGCAGUGGGGAAUAUGGCACAAUGGGCGCAAGCCGGAUGCAGCCAUGCCGCGUGUAUGAAGAAGGCCGUCGGGUUGUAAAGUACUUUCAGCGGGGAGGCGUUACCCGCAGAAGAAGCACCGGCUAACUCCGUGCCAGCCGCCGCGGUAAUUC
Molecule: ribosomal RNA, 406 nt
Filed under: uncultured bacterium
Lineage: Bacteria
Description: partial 16S ribosomal RNA
Rfam family: Bacterial small subunit ribosomal RNA
Source: RNAcentral